GACGAACGCUGGCGGCGUGCCUAAUACAUGCCAGUAGAACGCUGAAGAGAGGAGCUUGCUCUUCUUGGAUGAGUUGCGAACGGGUGAGUAACGCGUAGGUAACCUGCCUGGUAGCGGGGGAUAACUAUUGGAAACGAUAGCUAAUACCGCAUAACAACAGUUGUUGCAUGACAGCUGUUUAAAAGAUGCAAUUGCAUCACUACCAGAUGGACCUGCGUUGUAUUAGCUAGUUGGUGAGGUAACGGCUCACCAAGGCGACGAUACAUAGCCGACCUGAGAGGGUGAUCGGCCACACUGGGACUGAGACACGGCCCAGACUCCUACGGGAGGCAGCAGUAGGGAAUCUUCGGCAAUGGGGGGAACCCUGACCGAGCAACGCCGCGUGAGUGAAGAAGGUUUUCGGAUCGUAAAGCUCUGUUGUAAGAGAAGAACGGGUGUGAGAGUGGAAAGUUCACACUGUGACGGUAUCUUACCAGAAAGGGACGGCUAACUACGUG
This 497-nucleotide ribosomal RNA is filed under the name uncultured bacterium. RNAcentral describes it as "partial 16S ribosomal RNA". It matches the Rfam family "Bacterial small subunit ribosomal RNA", at positions 28 to 507 of the family's 1533-position model. The record is from RNAcentral.